Molecule: non-coding RNA, 300 nt
Organism: Myotis brandtii (Brandt's bat)
Lineage: Eukaryota; Metazoa; Chordata; Mammalia; Chiroptera; Vespertilionidae
Source: Rfam
GCGGAGCGCGGUGGUGCGCGCCUGUAGUCCCAGCUACUGGAGAGGCUGAGGCUGGAGGAUCGCUUGAGCCCAGGAGUUCUGGGCUGUAGUGCGCUAUGCCGAUCGGGUGUCCGCACUAAGUUCGGCAUCAAUAUGGUGACCUCCUGGGAGCGGGGGGCCACCAGGUUGCCUAAGGAGGGGUGAACCGACCCAGGUCGGAGACGGAGCGGGUCAAAGUUCCUGUGCUGAUCAGUAGUGAGAUCGCGCCUCUGAAUAGCCACUGCACUCCAGCCUGGGCAACAUAGCGAGACCCCGUCUCUA